GACGAACGCUGGCGGCGUGCUUAACACAUGCAAGUCGAACGGAAAGGCCCUGCUUUUGUGGGGUGCUCGAGUGGCGAACGGGUGAGUAACACGUAAGUAACCUGCCCUUGACUUUGGGAUAACUUCAGGAAACUGGGGCUAAUACCGGAUAGGAGCUCCUGCUGCAUGGUGGGGGUUGGAAAGUUUCGGCGGUUGGGGAUGGACUCGCGGCUUAUCAGCUUGUUGGUGGGGUAGUGGCUUACCAAGGCUUUGACGGGUAGCCGGCCUGAGAGGGUGACCGGCCACAUUGGGACUGAGAUACGGACCAGACUCCUACGGGAGGCAGCAGUGGGGAAUAUUGCACAACGGGCGGAAGCCUGAUGCAGCAACGCCGCGGGCGGGAUGACGGCCUUCGGGUUGUGAACCGCUUUCGCCUGUGACGAAGCGUGAGUGACGGUAAUGGGUAAAGAAGCACCGGCUAACUACGUG
This 468-nucleotide ribosomal RNA is filed under the name uncultured bacterium. RNAcentral describes it as "partial 16S ribosomal RNA". It matches the Rfam family "Bacterial small subunit ribosomal RNA", at positions 28 to 507 of the family's 1533-position model. The record is from RNAcentral.